This 380-nucleotide ribosomal RNA is filed under the name uncultured cyanobacterium. RNAcentral describes it as "bacterial SSU rRNA". It matches the Rfam family "Bacterial small subunit ribosomal RNA", at positions 376 to 770 of the family's 1533-position model. Lineage: Bacteria; Bacillati; Cyanobacteriota. The record is from RNAcentral.
CGAAAGCCUGACGGAGCAAUACCGCGUGAGGGAGGAAGGCUCUAGGGUUGUAAACCUCUUUUCUCAGGGAAGAACAAAAUGACGGUACCUGAGGAAUAAGCAUCGGCUAACUCCGUGCCAGCAGCCGCGGUAAUACGGAGGAUGCAAGCGUUAUCCGGAUUUAUUGGGCGUAAAGCGUCCGCAGGUGGCAGUUCAAGUCUGCUGUCAAAGGUCGGGGCUCAACCCCGAACAGGCAGUGGAAACUGAACAGCUAGAGUACGGUAGGGGCAGAGGGAAUUCCCAGUGUAGCGGUGAAAUGCGUAGAGAUUGGGAAGAACACCGGUGGCGAAAGCGCUCUGCUAGGCCGAAACUGACACUCAUGGACGAAAGCUAGGGGAGCG